CCUACGGGGGGGCAGCAGUGGGGAAUAUUGGACAAUGGGGGGAACCCUGAUCCAGCCAUGCCGCGUGUGUGAAGAAGGCCCUCGGGUUGUAAAGCACUUUCAGUGAGGAAGAACGCCUGGUGGUUAAUACCCAUCAGGAAAGACAUCACUCACAGAAGAAGCACCGGCUAACUCCGUGCCAGCAGCGGCGGUAAUACGGAGGGUGCGAGCGUUAAUCGGAAUUACUGGGCGUAAAGCGCGCGUAGGUGGCUUGAUAAGCCGGUUGUGAAAGCCCCGGGCUCAACCUGGGAACGGCAUCCGGAACUGUCAAGCUAGAGUGCAGGAGAGGAAGGUAGAAUUCCCGGUGUAGCGGUGAAAUGCGUAGAGAUCGGGAGGAAUACCAGUGGCGAAGGCGGCCUUCUGGACUGACACUGACACUGAGGUGCGAAAGCGUGGGUAGCAAACAGGAUUAGAUACCCGAGUAGUC
RNAcentral lists this ribosomal RNA (466 nucleotides) under Vreelandella stevensii. RNAcentral's name for it is "partial 16S ribosomal RNA". It matches the Rfam family "Bacterial small subunit ribosomal RNA", at positions 338 to 795 of the family's 1533-position model. Lineage: Bacteria; Pseudomonadati; Pseudomonadota; Gammaproteobacteria; Oceanospirillales; Halomonadaceae. The record is from RNAcentral.